Schizosaccharomyces pombe (fission yeast) is the source of this 1211-nucleotide non-coding RNA. The record is from the annotation of a GenBank genome assembly. NCBI's taxonomy places the organism in Eukaryota, Fungi, Ascomycota, Schizosaccharomycetes, Schizosaccharomycetales, Schizosaccharomycetaceae.
AUAGUUUUAUAAUUCUUCCGUGAAUGCUCUCCGCGGAAUAAGGCACAAUCCUAAGGCAGCAACGUAGUAAGGAGAUUUGGAAUUGUAACUUAUUGCAAUUAGCAAGACGGUAUAUUUCGGAUCGAGGAAGACAAGGGAGGCUCGAGAGCAGCAAAUGGUGAAAACAAGCAAUGUGUUUACCGACAAACAGUGCAAAUAUCAACAAAUGAGGCAAAUGGGUUGAUCGAAGAGGCGGUUUCUGGGAAGGUCUGGCUCGCUGACAGAGUGAAUGUAAGUAAUCAAAAAUACUCUUAAUAAGCCCAUUGCAAUUUGGCGAUUCUUAUGCUACAAGGCCUCUUUGUUUGCACUGGCACACAAUCUCUAAUUUUGUUUCUGUUUUUGACAUGCAACAUUGCUACGUACGCAGCGUAUAUUACUCAUUCACAAAUAAUGUUACUUUUUUUGUUGUUGAUAUUAUUCUUUCAUCAUUAAUAUCACUCUCUUAUUACUGACACUUGCUCCUUAUGAAUUUGUAUUCCAAUCGGUGUCCAUCUUCGUACGGUUUUUUGGUUUCCGUCUCAUUUGAUCGCCAUGAUGGAUCAUUAUGAUUCAUCAUCGCUCUCGUUAUGGCCAACAUAACAUAACUGCGCAGUAUUAUAAAUUAUUCCCGUAAGUUUCCCGCUUUAGAAAACAAAGAAUCAUGGUAACAAAGAACGUAUGGAACACUGAAACCUUCAUCUUAUAAAUGUCGUCGAAUUUUCUCAUCAUCUUUAAUUUCCACUUAAACAGCUACAUCAGAUUUUUUUACCUACCCUUUUUUGCCCUACCUUACCUUACUUACUGACUCUGGAUAGGUAUCAUCGAAUUCUAUCAUAGACCGAGCAAAAACAAACAAAACGGGCAAAAGAAAAAGAAGAAAAAGAAGGACAUUGUAAAGAUCAAACUUUACAAUAUUAUUAAACUUAUACAGUACAGAACAGUGUACAUGCUCAAACACUCUUAGUCCAUUCAUUUACCUAUGUAUUUGUAUGCAACGGUAUUAUUAAAAAAAUCUGUAAAGAUUAGUGAAUUUCAUUCUGCUUCAUUAAUGUAAGCUACGCAGUUUGGUAUCUGAUUUAAGGAUACGUAGAACUGCGGUGAGUUUUCCUUGUGAUCUAUUAUAUUACAAUACACAGGUUGUAUAAGUAGCAACUGAGUAUAGGUAUUGUAUUAACUGGGUUAUAAUGUUACCU